GAGCCACUUGACGCCAUCGUCGCCAUGGACGGGCUGUGGUGAGCUCGACGCCGGCAGCUGUUCAUCGCCCUUCCUCUUCUUCGUCAGCGCCAUAAGCACGCGAAGGCCAUGGGAGAUCCAUUCCCGCAGCAACCGGACGCCGAGGCCGACGCACGACGCCCCGACGACGAGCAUCUUCUCCACCUCCGGCGAUCUCUUCUGCGGAGUACCUCGACGUCGCGCGUUCCUUUCCUGCGCCGACUCUACUCUCCGCCCCAAGGUGAGCAGACGAAGCCUCGUCCCCUCUCCUCUGUCCGAAGCAUCGCGUAGCUGCGUGACCAGCUUUUCGCCUUGCCGCGCGGCUCUGUAGAGCAGAGCAGUGGAGGUAGCUAGUAGCGGCAAGUAGCAGUAGAAGCCGCAGUAUGUACCUAGCAGUAGCAGCGCCACAACAUCCGCAACAUGCAGUGGCAGUAGCAGCGAGCGAGCAGUGCAUUCGCGUGCGUGUAGAGCAGCUCGUAUGUCGUGUGCGUCACCGGAGUCGCUCAUCUGUGCGUGUCUCUGUUGCGAUGGAGCUAGCCCCCUAUCUUGCGUUCAACUAGAGUAGAUCCCCCAUUUGGAACAAAUGCCCCACGCUAGCCCAGUGGCAAUAGAGCGUACGUUGCACCGCAGCGUCCUGUGUUCGAUCCCCAGCGUGCCCUUUUUUCUUUUCUGGGGUUUUUCCCAUCUGCGCUCUUCGUGUAAUUAACUUAGGGAAGUUUCCUCCCGUAGUAGAGUAGUGUCCCGAUCCCUAGCAAGCUGGUUCGACCGAGCCAGGGCGACCGUGAGGUCCUGGGUUCGAGUCCCCAUGUCGCCCUUUUUUUAUUGUUUUAUAUUUCCUGUUGUGAAUAGCGAGUUAGGCAUUGUAUGUCUGCAUAUCUUUCCAUACUAGUUCAGCUGCAUGUGGCUAGCCCACUGGUGGUGACCGUGCACUCCACCAGGGAGAUGGUGGGUUCGAUUCCCACCUCUCUCCUAUUUUCCUUUUAUGUGGUGUGACUUGUGUGUGCCACUGACAGGUGGUCCCAGGGCCCUGGUGUCUAUGACCAGUAGGCCCCCUGUCAGUUUACAUUUUAGUGGUGAUAUAUUUGUGACUUGUGUGAAAUCUCCUUGUUUGGAAUAAUUCCAGAAAUGGAAUGGCCUGAUCUGGUAUAUCCCAAAUUGGGCAGGCUCAGGAGCAGUUCCUGUUCUUGACUAUGCUGUAGUUUGAUCCUGUGUUAUUUUUCUUUUGCUGUUUGUGGUGUUUUUCUGCAAGUAACAUGGGCAGUAUGAUACAUGGAUUUGGGGUAGCAGAACCCAAGGAAUCCAAUGGUUGCACUGGAUUCCAGUUUUGAACAGUUCUGUAGAAGUGUCACUUUGUGAUGAGGUGGCACUUGUUUGCCUUUGUAGGUUGGUGCAAGUGCAUACUGCGAUUGAGACUCCAUGCAUUAUUUUAGUUAGUGCUUUCUGUUGUGCACGUCGUGUGGUGAAUCUGUGUGUUGAUUUGUGUUUUCGGUUUGCUUCGUCUCGUUAGAGUUCCACAAGCGUGUCGGAAUGUGAGGACCCGUUCGACUACGUUGGUUCGUCUGCUUCACGGAGUAAUUCUUCUUCCAAGCGGGAUCUCAGGCAAGAUGAUCAUUUCCCCAGAUACCAUUACUAUCAUUGCCAUGCUAGUUUUACCGUUUCUAUCGUUAUGUCUCGUUGCCUACCACAUGUUAAAUAUCAGCCUUCUCAACAAUGCCAUGAUAACCUUCAACCUGUUCGACCUAGCAAACCACUGAUUGGCUAUGUUACCGCUUGCUUAACCAUGUUGUUAGCGUUGCUAGUUGCAGGUGCAGUUGCUUCCAUGUGAUAACAUGGGUUCUUGUUAUAUCACCAUAUUAAAUGCUAUUUAAUUUAAUGCACCUAUAUACUUGGUAAAAGGUGGAAGGCUCGGCCUUUCUAGCCUGGUGUUUUGUUCCACCUUUGCCCCCUUAGUUUCGGCUACCGGUGUUAUGUUCCAUAAAAGAGCGCUCCUAACACGAUCGGGGUUGUUAUGGGGACCCCCUUGAUAAUUCGUUUUAGAUUAAAGCUGGUCCGGCAAGGCCCAACAUUGGUUCUACAUUUGCCCAACAUAAUAUUUUUGUUAAUAUUUAAAUGCAUAGGGCAUCAUGAACCCGAGGAGUAAUUUUACAUAAACAGGGGGGCCGGUGCUGAUGGUGUUGGUCCCAAACGGUCUGCCUGCGGGGCCACCACGGGGAAACUCGAGGUUUGGCACCCGUAGCUAGUUCCAUCCGUCGUGUCCUGAGAACGAGAUACGCGGCUCCUAUCGGGAUCGUCGACACGUCGGGCGGCCUUGCUGGAUUAGUUUUACCUUUGAUGAGAUAUCUUGUGCAUCGGGAUUCCGGUGAUGCUUUGGGUAAUCUUAGAGUUGAGGUUUUCCACUAGGGAAUCCGACGAGAUCGCGAGCUUCGUGAUUGAGGAUUUCUAUGCGGCUUGUGGUAAUUUGUGAUGGACUAGUUGGAGCACCCCUGCAGGGUUAAAUCUUUCGGAAAGCCGUGCCCGCGGUUAUGUGGCAACGUGGAAGCUUUGUUUAACACUGGUUCUAGAUAACUUGAAGUUAACUUAAUUAAAACUUGCCAACUGUGUGCGUAACCGUGACUGUCUCUUUCGUGAGUUCCUUCUCCGAUCGAGGACACGGUGGGGUUAUGUCUGACGUAGAUAGGUGUUCAGGAUCAUUCAUUUGAUCAUCAGUAGUUCACGUCCGUUAUGCGUAGAUCUUCCCCCUCUUAUUUCCUGUACUCGUAAGUUAGCCACCAAAUAUAUGCUUAGCCGCUGCUGCAACCUCACCACUUCACCAUACCUCACCCAUUAAGCUUUGCUAGUCUUGAUACCUUUGGAAAUGAGAUUGCUGAGUCCCGUGUGGCUCACAGAUUACUACAACACCAGUUGCAGGUACAUGUAAAGGUUACUCGACGUGAGCG
Molecule: long non-coding RNA, 2954 nt
Filed under: Hordeum vulgare
Lineage: Eukaryota; Viridiplantae; Streptophyta; Magnoliopsida; Poales; Poaceae
Description: long non-coding RNA (HVUL_LNC016795)
Source: RNAcentral